Molecule: ribosomal RNA, 292 nt
Filed under: uncultured bacterium
Lineage: Bacteria
Description: partial 16S ribosomal RNA
Rfam family: Bacterial small subunit ribosomal RNA
Source: RNAcentral
GGAUUAGAUACCCUGGUAGUCCACGCCGUAAACUAUGAAAACUUGCUGUUGGACACAUAAAUGUGUUUAGUGGCGAAGCUAACGCGUUAAGUUUUCCGCCUGGGGAGUACGAUCGCAAGGUUAAAACUCAAAGGAAUUGACGGGGGCCCGCACAAGCGGUGGAGCAUGUGGUUUAAUUCGAUGCUACACGAAAAACCUUACCUACUCUUGAUCUCUAUAUCGAGUAGAGAUACUCGAGUGCCUUUUAGGAAUUAGAUGACAGGUGCUGCAUGGCUGUCGUCAGCUCGUGCUG